AUUGCGAAUGAACAAGGAAAUUUCUCAGCCUUUAGAAUUGGGCCUUCCUGGGCUUCUGAAUUGUAUUGUGCAAAUGUGAUGCCAAUGGGGGUGCAGGUGUAAGCUGAUUGAAAGAAAGCGACCAGUGUGGGUGAAACCCCCUUUCACUGCCUGUUACCCCCCCAUGUAUGGCAUGCAUUCUAUGAGUCACAUUCCUUGGCAUUGGAAUGCAAAUUUGGUGGUAAAUUCCAUGUAAAGAUCAACAUAUUAUUGAGACUGAUAGCAAACAAGUACCGUGAGGGAAAUAUGAAAAGGACUUUGAAAAGAGAAUUAAAAGAGUCUGCAAUUGUUAAACAGGAAGCAACCGGAAUUGAAUUUGCAUGGGUAGAUUGUUUCUCCGUGUGGACCACCUUGGUGUCUGCAUUGGUGAAAUGGUUCUUCCUGUGGGUGCCAGGAUCUGUGUUAGUAAAUCAUCACUGCAUUCACAUGUAUGGUUGUUUCCCUGUGGGUAUUCGAAUACAUGUGUUUGGGCUGACUUAUAAUACGUGUUUGUGCAUGGUGGAGUUGCACACAUAAGACAGGGGUGUGUAUACUGCCUGUGUGCAUGCAACCUUCUUGCACAUGUGUGCUGGCGAUGCGUUCCGCUUGACCCGUCUUGAAACACGGACCAAGGAGUCUAAUAGAUGUGCAAGCGUGUGGGUGGAACACCUCCUUGCGCAAUGAAAGUAGUAGCUGGGAUUAUUGCACCAGCAUCCAACCAAUUAGCAGGCAGAGGUUUGAGUUUGAGCACAUGCAUUAGGACUCGAAAGAUGGUGAACUAUGCCUGAACAGAAUGAAUUCAGAGGAAACUCUGAUGAAGGUUCGUAUCGAUACUGACGUGCAAAUCGUUCGUCAU
This 874-nucleotide ribosomal RNA is filed under the name Alexandrium diversaporum. Its description in RNAcentral is "LSU rRNA". It matches the Rfam family "Eukaryotic large subunit ribosomal RNA", at positions 86 to 908 of the family's 3401-position model. Lineage: Eukaryota; Dinophyceae; Gonyaulacales; Pyrocystaceae. The record is from RNAcentral.